This 230-nucleotide unclassified non-coding RNA is filed under the name fungal sp. Its description in RNAcentral is "partial internal transcribed spacer region". The record is from RNAcentral. Lineage: Eukaryota; Fungi.
GCUUGGUCAUUUAGCCGGUAACGCUGGGCAAGCGGCCGGUGCCUUGUACUGUCGCCUUCUGUUCAUGCCGCUUUCGGAAACUUCAAGCCUUCGACGGCAGGCUCAUCGACUGUUCAGUCUCCCAUGACACCGAGGCAAACCUGAGCUUAAGGUUAAUCUAAGGUUAAUGUGCCAUCUUCCCACCGAGAACGCCAUCGCGCCGACCCCUUAGGCCGCGCUGAAUUAGGGUG